This 397-nucleotide ribosomal RNA is filed under the name uncultured bacterium. RNAcentral describes it as "partial 16S ribosomal RNA". It matches the Rfam family "Bacterial small subunit ribosomal RNA", at positions 523 to 918 of the family's 1533-position model. The record is from RNAcentral.
AUACGUAGGGGGCGAGCGUUGUCCGGAAUGAUUGGGCGUAAAGGGCGCGUAGGCGGCCUGUUAAGUCUGGAGUGAAAGUCCUGUUUUCAAGAUGGGAAUUGCUUUGGAUACUGAUGGGCUUGAGUGCAGGAGAGGUUAUCGGAAUUCCCGGUGUAGCGGUGAAAUGCGUAGAGAUCGGGAGGAACACCAGCGGCGAAGGCGGGUAACUGGACUGCAACUGACGCUGAGGCGCGAAAGUGUGGGGAGCAAACAGGAUUAGAUACCCUGGUAGUCCACACUGUAAACGAUGAAUGCUAGGUGUAAGAGGUAUCGACCCCUUUUGUGCCGGAGUUAACACAAUAAGCAUUCCGCCUGGGGAGUACGGCCGCAAGGUUGAAACUUAAAGGAAUUGACGGGG